CAUAGAAACCAUUUUUUCUGUAAAAGAAUAGUAGCUUGGAAGACUUCAAGUAGCAUCAGACAAACAGAGAGAUGGCAACAACGUUUUCUUCCAUCCUGUGCAAGAUCCUUCUCGUUAUUGUAGCCAUGCUUGCCCUCCUUUGCUCUGCCUAUGCAAGAGACGCAUCAGAAUAUGGGCAGUGUUUUUCCCGGCCUGAAUGCAGCAACUACUGCAAGCAGCAAGGAUACCUCAGGGGAGGGGAGGUCAUGCCGCCCAACUUCAUGGACUGUUGCUGUCUCAUAUGAGCAUCACCGUGUAAUGUGCCAUUUUAUGUCUAAAUAAUAAAAUGCUAUAAUAAAAAUGAAAUUUAUGGAUU
Triticum aestivum (bread wheat) is the source of this 355-nucleotide long non-coding RNA. RefSeq lists it as uncharacterized. The record is from RefSeq and is a predicted model, not a curated record. The transcript has 2 exons. Lineage: Eukaryota; Viridiplantae; Streptophyta; Magnoliopsida; Poales; Poaceae.